Molecule: microRNA, 18 nt
Filed under: Ciona intestinalis (vase tunicate)
Lineage: Eukaryota; Metazoa; Chordata; Ascidiacea; Phlebobranchia; Cionidae
Description: cin-miR-4211-5p
Source: miRBase by way of RNAcentral
ACAGAAAAGAUUGCUUCG